Panicum virgatum (switchgrass) is the source of this 896-nucleotide long non-coding RNA. RefSeq lists it as uncharacterized. The record is from RefSeq and is a predicted model, not a curated record. The transcript has 4 exons. Lineage: Eukaryota; Viridiplantae; Streptophyta; Magnoliopsida; Poales; Poaceae.
ACUCGCAGGUCCUACUCCACUCCAAGUGGCCGCGCUCCCCUAAACCCUCUCCUCUCCAGAUUCCAGAAGCAGCGGGGGCAGAGAGAAGCCGCCGGGGAUUCGGCGGCGUGGUGUCGUCCCUCCUCCACAAGCCAUGGAUAUUGCAAGAUGUCAGCACUGGGAUGGCAAUCAACAUGUUAUCAGAGCUAAAUCCACAUGGACUCAAUUGGAAUAUUCAUGUGUGGAUAUUAAGAAUGUGGAAGUUACUCUGAUCGUGGAUGAAAAGGUGUGAUCUACAUUUACACUAUAAAUAUUUCUAUACCAACUCUUUUUUACCCUAACACAAAUUAAUUUUAUCACAAAAUAAUGCUAUACAUGCUGAAGUACCACCAGAGGCAAUUUCACAACUCAAGAAUCAUCUAAGUGAAGGGAAAAUAGUUGACAAUUUUUAGCCCACAAGGCCAAAAAUAUAAAUAGAAUCUAAUGAGUAUGCAGUUGAUCAAGACAGGUACAAAAAUAAAAGUGAAGUCCAUAGCGACAAUGACAACGAGUCAACGACAGUGAUGAAGACACCAAGCCUACUAAAGAGAGCUAAUCAGUAACUGCAAUAGAAGAAUAAGACGUAACUAACUGUUGAUGGACUUUUAAUGGUCUACGCUUUUGUGAAGGGAGAAGAGCAUUUUGCCGGGUGGGGAAGCAAAAGAUGCAAGAGAGCCUUUGACACUUACUGUGAUGGCUCAGCGUAUGUAAUUAUUAGUACUGCUAUCACUAUGAAAUGCAGCGUAUGUAAUUAUCUGACGUCAGCACCUUGUCACGAUCUGAUUUCCGCUUAGUGAUGGGAAGGCAAGAUGCUGUUCUCCUAUAGUCUUCCCCGAAGUGUGUUGCCCCGCAUAGUAUGUCCUGUUUGACAAAAAAGC